CCCUCUCUCUUUCUUUUCUUUUUCCUUCUCCCUCUCACUUAGCCUCACACGCAGCUCCCUCUCCCUUCUUCUCUUUACUUUUCUCUUAUUUCCCUUUCUUUCCCUUCUCCUCUAUUCUGUCACGCCACUGCCGAGAGAUGGAAAGAUCUACCGAGAGUGAGAGGGGCGAACUGUGAAAAGAGAAGAGUCGAGCUGAGAGAGAGAUUCACGCUGAUGGAGAGAUUCGACCAUGAGAUGAAGAAGAAGAGGAAGAAAUGGGUUCCAGCCAUGGGGUGAUUUUUGAGGAUAGUGUCCGGAUUGGAGACUUCAAUGGGUUCUCCAAUAUAGAGUUCGAGUCAUGCGUCCAAUGCAACCCAGAUGAUGUUUCUUUGGCUGCAGGUACUCCGGACGUUGUUGAUGACGUAGUAGAAGUGUACUUGGGAUAUUAUGACCGAAGCUCCCCGCGACAGUCGUAAUUGCAGGACUAUGGGCGUUCUUUGUUUUAUGGGUUUUAUUUAUAGCUUGUGACACCUGUGUCACUUGUUAUUGUAUAUAGUCAUUUAUGUUAUGUAUUUAAUUUGAAGAAAGACUUAAAUAGAUAGAUGUAAUAUUGGCUCUUGAUUAUGAUUAAUUUAUGAUAGAUGUUUAAGA
Alnus glutinosa is the source of this 630-nucleotide long non-coding RNA. RefSeq lists it as uncharacterized. The record is from RefSeq and is a predicted model, not a curated record. Lineage: Eukaryota; Viridiplantae; Streptophyta; Magnoliopsida; Fagales; Betulaceae. The transcript is spliced from 3 exons.